AAGUCGUAACAAGGUAACCGUAGGUGAACCUGCGGUUGGAUCAUCACGUGUUAAACGUAAUAUUAUUCUACCAACGCGAACUCUUUAAAGGGUGAUGAACUUCGACUAAAAAUUACUUCGAAUUCAUUUUCGUUGUGAUUUUGGUUGAUUUUUUCCUCCGCAAAUUAUUAAUUCUUCAUUGAAUUUUUAGUUUGAAAACUUUUGAUUAACAAUCAAAACAAACUUUUAUAACUUUUUUAGUUACUGAAAUUAAAAUUUGCGUUUUUUUCCAACUUUUUUGUUGGUUAAAAAAUUCAAGUUUUUCAUUUACGAAACAAAAUUGAACAACUCUUAGCAACGGAUAUCUAGGUUCUC
RNAcentral lists this unclassified non-coding RNA (354 nucleotides) under fungal sp. RNAcentral describes it as "partial internal transcribed spacer region". The stretch from base 1 to 46 matches the Rfam family "Eukaryotic small subunit ribosomal RNA", at positions 1786 to 1831 of the family's 1831-position model. The record is from RNAcentral. Lineage: Eukaryota; Fungi.